AUUGAACGCUGGCGGCAGGCCUAACACAUGCAAGUCGAACGAGUGGCGGACGGGUGAGUAAUGUCUGGGAAAAGGCCUGAUGGAGGGGGAUAACUACUGGAAACGGUAGCUAAUACCGCAUACCAUCAGAUGUGCCCAGAUGGGAUUAGCUUGUUGGUGGGGUAACGGCUCACAAAGGCGACGAUCCCUAGCGGGUCUGAGAGGAUGACCAGCCAACCUGGAACUGGAAAACGGUCCAGACUCCUACGGGAGGCAGCAGUGGGGAAUAUUGCACAAUGGGCGCAAGCCUGAUGCAGCCAUGCGGCGUGUAGGAAGAGGGCCUUCGGGUUGUAAAGUACUUUCAGCGGGGAGGCGUUACCCGCAGAAGAAGCACCGGCUAACUCCGUGCCAGCCGCCGCGGUAAUUC
This 406-nucleotide ribosomal RNA is filed under the name uncultured bacterium. Its description in RNAcentral is "partial 16S ribosomal RNA". It matches the Rfam family "Bacterial small subunit ribosomal RNA", at positions 30 to 526 of the family's 1533-position model. The record is from RNAcentral.